This is a long non-coding RNA of Cydia strobilella, 1005 nucleotides long. RefSeq lists it as uncharacterized. The record is from RefSeq and is a predicted model, not a curated record. The transcript has 3 exons. NCBI's taxonomy places the organism in Eukaryota, Metazoa, Arthropoda, Insecta, Lepidoptera, Tortricidae.
UUUAAAUUCACUGAAGAUUGCAAGAGAGGAACAGUUCGCUACAAUGGCGAUAGGAUUCCUGAUUUUGACCGGCUUGCUGGCCUUUGGCACGUACUGGACCACCAGGUACCUGAUCUCGGCGGCGGAUCAUAGCACUACCACGACUACUGUCUCGCCAAACGACGACAGUAUACUACGCUUGAUAUUUAACAAGUCUGGUUGACAUCGGCAUCAGCUGUCCCGCGUCAACUUUCAUACUUAGCGGACUCACGAGGAAGGCAUUUAUCGUUGCAACUUAUUAAUGCUUAAAUACUUAGUCAAAUUGUAUUUAUUAGGUUCUUUUUUCAUUUAAUUUUAAUUUGAACCGGAUGUAUCAGCAAGACGAAGUGCCUGCUUUUUUUGAUGUUUCAUAUUUGCAACAUGAUUCCAGUCCCAGGAGAGCGGCAACUUUAAACACCUUUUCUUGAUUUGACUAUCAGUGUGUUUUGCUCAAACAAGUUACAAAGAAAUCUAACUCUGACUACCUAGGAACAUUUUUGUUUAUCCAAUCCCUUUAUCCAAUGUACCUACAUGUGAUAUAAAUUCUAUCUAAAAUAACUUGAACAAAUUACAUGCUUCAUUAAUCGGAAAAUUAUGCGUGAAGAUAAACGCGACGUGGAACUAUGAAUGUAUUUAGUUUUAAAAUUCUAAUUCGAUUUUUGUAAGUUAGGGUACCAUAAAACCACACCAUUAUAGUCUAUUGCCACAACUAUGGCCCACAAGUUCAAUACGUAAUUAAGUAUCAAAACCAAUGUCCUUUUUCGUAUUUUCCGAGUUAUUUCUCUUAUUUAUGAAAAUGUUUUAUCCUCUGAAAUGCGUCAUUCAAAUAAUAACUAGUCACGCCUAAAUAAAGGUAUCCGAGUUAAUUUUGGCCAUAGUUGGGAGAUUUUAGACUAUAGUUGGGUGGUUUUACGUUAAUAUAGGUAAUAUAAAUAAGUUUAUUGACUUGGUGUGAUUACAUUUACUUUUUGUAUCGUUAUUUUUAUA